Molecule: long non-coding RNA, 263 nt
Organism: Orcinus orca (killer whale)
Lineage: Eukaryota; Metazoa; Chordata; Mammalia; Artiodactyla; Delphinidae
Exons: 3
Source: RefSeq, a predicted model, not a curated record
AUGGAGUAUGUACUGGCAGGAAGGGUGAAAGCCAGCAGAGGGAGGGUGCCCAGCAAAGCCAUGGAGUCUUGAAACAGCCCAUCCUGAACCACCAGGGUCGCUCUGGCUGAUAUGUGGAACCUGGAUUGCAUCUGCAGCCCUUGCAUACUCUCAGUGAAGCCAGAAACCAGCAGGUCACUCUCGUGGGUCAGCUCACUGCCUCCUUUGAGAGAGAUUUUCUCUGGCUUGAUUCCUGAGGUUCUGAGCUGCCCACUGAACUCUCC